UUAUUGGAGAGUUUGAUCCUGGCUCAGGACGAACGCUGGCGGCGUGCCUAAUACAUGCAAGUCGAGCGGGGUUCAUUAGAAGCUUGCUUCUAAUGAACCUAGCGGCGGACGGGUGAGUAACACGUAGGCAACCUGCCCACAAGACAGGGAUAACUACCGGAAACGGUAGC
Molecule: ribosomal RNA, 170 nt
Filed under: Paenibacillus brasilensis
Lineage: Bacteria; Bacillati; Bacillota; Bacilli; Caryophanales; Paenibacillaceae
Description: partial 16S ribosomal RNA
Rfam family: Bacterial small subunit ribosomal RNA
Source: RNAcentral